GUUGACCUCGGAUCAGGUAGGGAUACCCGCUGAACUUAAGCAUAUCAAUAAGCGGAGGAAAAGAAACCAACAGGGAUUGCCCUAGUAACGGCGAGUGAAGCGGCAACAGCUCAAAUUUGAAAGCUGGCCUUCGGGUCCGCAUUGUAAUUUGUAGAGGAUGCUUUGGGUGAAACGCCAGUCUAAGUUCCUUGGAACAGGACGUCAUAGAGGGUGAGAAUCCCGUAUGUGACUGGAAAUGUUAACCUAUGUAAAGCUCCUUCGACGAGUCGAGUUGUUUGGGAAUGCAGCUCUAAAUGGGAGGUAAAUUUCUUCUAAAGCUAAAUAUUGGCGAGAGACCGAUAGCGCACAAGUAGAGUGAUCGAAAGAUGAAAAGCACUUUGGAAAGAGAGUUAAAAAGCACGUGAAAUUGUUGAAAGGGAAGCGCUUGCAAUCAGACUUGUUUAAACUGUUCGGCCGGUCUUCUGACCGGUUUACUCAGUUUGGACAGGCCAGCAUCAGUUUCGGCGGCCGGAUAAAGGCUCUGGGAAUGUGGCCUUCACUUCGGUGAAGGUGUUAUAGCCCAGGGUGUAAUACGGCCAGCCGGGACUGAAGUCCGCGCUUCGGCUAGGAUGCUGGCGUAAUGGUUGUAAA
Molecule: ribosomal RNA, 630 nt
Filed under: Aureobasidium pullulans
Lineage: Eukaryota; Fungi; Ascomycota; Dothideomycetes; Dothideales; Saccotheciaceae
Description: partial large subunit ribosomal RNA
Rfam family: Eukaryotic large subunit ribosomal RNA
Source: RNAcentral